Molecule: transfer RNA, 63 nt
Filed under: Cavia porcellus (domestic guinea pig)
Lineage: Eukaryota; Metazoa; Chordata; Mammalia; Rodentia; Caviidae
Rfam family: tRNA
About the family: Transfer RNA (tRNA) molecules are approximately 80 nucleotides in length. Their secondary structure includes four short double-helical elements and three loops (D, anti-codon, and T loops). Further hydrogen bonds mediate the characteristic L-shaped molecular structure. tRNAs have two regions of fundamental functional importance: the anti-codon, which is responsible for specific mRNA codon recognition, and the 3' end, to which the tRNAs corresponding amino acid is attached (by aminoacyl-tRNA synthetases). tRNAs cope with the degeneracy of the genetic code in two manners: having more than one tRNA (with a specific anti-codon) for a particular amino acid; and 'wobble' base-pairing, i.e. permitting non-standard base-pairing at the 3rd anti-codon position.
Source: Rfam by way of RNAcentral
AGGGAUUUAGCUUAGCGGCAAAAGCACUUGCCUGGCAAGCGCAAGUCAUGAGUUCAGUCCCUG